RNAcentral lists this unclassified non-coding RNA (279 nucleotides) under plant metagenome. RNAcentral describes it as "partial contains small subunit ribosomal RNA, internal transcribed spacer 1, and 5.8S ribosomal RNA". The record is from RNAcentral.
GUUCCGUAGGUGAACCUGCGGAAGGAUCAUUAUUGAAUAAUCGAGGAGCGAGGUCUGUCGCUGACCCGACAGGCCCUUCAGGAACGAGUGCCCUCACACAUAUCUUUCUCACCCUUAUCUCCACCACUGAGUGGUUCCUCCAUUGGUUUGUUGGGAGGGGUGCUUACUAAUUCAAAUAAACAUAGAACGUAGAGUAACGGGUAUCUUUUCUUUUUGCGAGCUCGCAAACAAAACAACUUGCAACAACGCAUCUCUUAACUCCAGUAUCGAUGAAGAACC